CUGUUGCCUAGCUACAGGGGGAGGUCUCGGCUCCUUAUCUGCACCAAAGGUGAAGUCCCCUGACCAGGGCCAGAGAGUGCCACGUGCACACGCAUUUAGCCCUCCUCCUCACCUGCUUCUCACUGUCACUAGGCCUAGAAGCCAGCAAGAUUACAGAAGCCAGGGGCAUGGUUACGGUGAUGCAAGCAGGGAGGGGGCUUGCCAUCUCAUUUC
Molecule: small RNA, 213 nt
Filed under: Myotis lucifugus (little brown bat)
Lineage: Eukaryota; Metazoa; Chordata; Mammalia; Chiroptera; Vespertilionidae
Description: RNase MRP (ENSMLUG00000021650.2)
Source: RNAcentral